Molecule: non-coding RNA, 341 nt
Organism: Camelina sativa (false flax)
Lineage: Eukaryota; Viridiplantae; Streptophyta; Magnoliopsida; Brassicales; Brassicaceae
Source: RefSeq, a predicted model, not a curated record
GAGGAACUCGAUGUCUUUCUGAAGCCUGAGGCACGAGAUGUUUGGCUCGGAAAGCUCGUCAAAAGAUUAGACGGGUUGAUCCAACUCUUGACAUGGAGGCUGGCAAGGGAGAUGAGAUGACUACGGAUUGUUGUUAACUAUAUCCAUCAAGUCAUUCCGCAUAAGGGCUGUUGAAGUGUUAAUUUCAAGUCAACUAGUGUAUACGGAUUCACACAGUUAAAACAGGUCUCAUCCUAUAGAAGUAGUAGUAGAAGCAUUGGGCUCAAUAGAUAAGUAAUACUGACGGUUAUAAGCAUCAAAACUUGUAACAUAUAUAUAUCUAAAUGUUUUUUUUUUUUUUU